RNAcentral lists this ribosomal RNA (468 nucleotides) under uncultured bacterium. RNAcentral's name for it is "partial 16S ribosomal RNA". It matches the Rfam family "Bacterial small subunit ribosomal RNA", at positions 28 to 507 of the family's 1533-position model. The record is from RNAcentral.
GACGAACGCUGGCGGCGUGCUUAACACAUGCAAGUCGAACGGAAAGGCCCUGCUUCUGUGGGGUGCUCGAGUGGCUAACGGGUGAGUAACACGUGAGUAACCUGCCCUUGAUUUUGGGAUGACUUCCAGAAACUGGGGCUAAUACCGGAUAGAUGCUCCUGCUGCAUGGCGGGGGGUGGAGAGUUACGGCGGUUGGGGAUGGACUCGCGGCUUAUCAGCUUGUUGGUGGGGUAGUGGCUUACCAAGGCUUUGACGGGUAGCCGGCCUGAGAGGGUGACCGGCCACAUUGGGACUGAGAUACGGCCCAGACUCCUACGAGAGGCAGCAGUGGGGAAUAUUGCACAAUGGGCGGAAGCCUGAUGCAGCAACGCCGCGUGCGGGAUGACGGCCUUCGGGUUGUAAACCGCUUUCGCCUGUGACGAAGCGUGAGUGACGGUAAUGGGUAAAGAAGCACCGGCUAACUACGUG